GCGGCCAUAGCGUCGUGGAACCACCUGAUCCCAUGCCGAACUCAGAAGUGAAACGCGGUAGCGCCGAUGGUAGUGUGGCAUUCGCCAUGCGAGAGUAGGACACUGCCAGGC
Molecule: ribosomal RNA, 111 nt
Filed under: Aeromonas enteropelogenes
Lineage: Bacteria; Pseudomonadati; Pseudomonadota; Gammaproteobacteria; Aeromonadales; Aeromonadaceae
Source: RNAcentral